CGCCAAACUAGCAAUUGUUUCGGGAAAUAUACAAGGAAAUUAUUACUUGUAUCCAAAAUACAUUGGGGAAUAUUUCUAACCAUCAUUAGAGAAUUUCAACAAAGAUGAGAUUCCUGCUGUUGGUUGUUAUUCACAGCAUUUUGGUAGAAGAUACAUUUGGUGAAAAUAUAGUCUCAGACAUGAAAACAAAUCAUUAUGUAGGAGAAACAGCUAUUUUGUCAUGCAACUUUUCUGGUGAUGCAUCAGGAAACAGAUGGCGACGUUCUGGUGCAAUUAUUGCAACAUCAUCGAAUAUAACUUUGGCAGGCCCCGCGAGUAAACACUUCAAUGUCGUCGAGGAUGAAGAACAAGACAAAUAUAAUCUUGAAAUUUAUAAUGUGACAAAAUUAGAUUCUGGUCUUUACUGGUGUGAAAUGCAAAGAGAUGGACAGAUUACACAGCAAAGAGUCACAUUGUUCAU
Mytilus trossulus (common blue mussel) is the source of this 460-nucleotide long non-coding RNA. RefSeq lists it as uncharacterized. The transcript has 3 exons. The record is from RefSeq and is a predicted model, not a curated record. Lineage: Eukaryota; Metazoa; Mollusca; Bivalvia; Mytilida; Mytilidae.